This 891-nucleotide long non-coding RNA is filed under the name Homo sapiens (human). RNAcentral's name for it is "HSALNT0156795". Lineage: Eukaryota; Metazoa; Chordata; Mammalia; Primates; Hominidae. The record is from RNAcentral.
GGCACAGCUACCUUCUCCACUGUGGCCCCAUCCCCGCCACAGGAGAGAGAGCCGCCUUUACCCGACAUGAGCAGGAGUUCGAGGAACAUCUGGACGAGCAAAGGCCACCAGGAGGUAGCACAGCAAAAAAGGCCAAGAGCCUGUUUUCUUUACCGAUGGCUGGCGGCAAAUAUUCCGAAAGAAACGUGUCAGGCAAGAAGCGCUAGUUCACGCCUGUCAUUCCACCGCUUUGGGAGGCCAAGGCAGGGGGAUCACUUGCCCCAGAAGUUUGAGACCAGCCUGGGCAACAUAGUGAGGCCCCUGUCUCUACAAAAAACUUAAAAUCAAUAAACAGGUCUCCUUCCUUCCUCAAUAGUCCUGUUGGUGGCUCACCUCUCUGCCUCUCCAGAUGUGAGGCAGAUCCACACGUUUAGCUAUUGAGAUAAGGCUGGGCGUGGUGGCUCACACCUGUCAUUCCGGCCUCAGAUCUCUUGUGCCCAGGAGUUUUAAGACUAGCCUGGGCGACCUGGCUGGCAACAUGGCCUCCACAAAAAUAAAUAAAACAUUUUAAAUAUAUAAACAUUGAGAUAAUAGCAUCUUGAUGCCUGUCUUCAUUUUUUGUCUUCUGUUUUAAGGACUAUUAGAGACAAACUAACCAAAGAUAAUUCUCCCCUCCCAUGUGGCUCGUGCUGGGACGCCGGCACCGUGAGAUGGCGCCCGUGGCCAGAUAGAGGGUGGCGUGUAAAGCAGCAUGAACAAACAAAAAAAAGCCGGAUUUGGACAAAUAAAAAGAAGUGCAUGUCAGCCCGAGUGUCCUGAAACAUGUUCCUGUAUUAGAAUCUCCAGGAAAGCUGGGGCCCCCACUCGCCACUACCUCAGGCUGGGCCCGCAGUCACGUGCUUCUCCCUACAG